UACAGAGGGGGCAAGCGUUGUUCGGAAUUACUGGGCGUAAAGGGCGCGUAGGCGGCCUGCUAAGUCGAACGUGAAAUCCCUGGGCUCAACCCAGGAACUGCGUCCGAUACUGGUUGGCUUGAAUCCGGGAGAGGGAUGCGGAAUUCCAGGUGUAGCGGUGAAAUGCGUAGAUAUCUGGAGGAACACCGGUGGCGAAGGCGGCAUCCUGGACCGGUAUUGACGCUGAGGCGCGAAAGCGUGGGGAGCAAACAGG
This 253-nucleotide ribosomal RNA is filed under the name uncultured bacterium. RNAcentral describes it as "partial 16S ribosomal RNA". It matches the Rfam family "Bacterial small subunit ribosomal RNA", at positions 524 to 776 of the family's 1533-position model. The record is from RNAcentral.